GAGGAAAGAGGGAGGAGUGCCUAAUACAUGCAAGUCGAGCGAACAGAUGAGGAGCUUGCUCCUCUGACGUUAGCGGCGGACGGGUGAGUCACACGUGGAUAACCUACCUAUAAGACUGGGAUAACUUCGGGAACCCGGAGCUAAUACCGGAUACUAUCUUGCCCCGCAUGGUUCCCUCGUGCACGCCGGUUUUGCUGUCCCUUCUCGCUGGCUCCGCGCCGCAUUCGCUCGUUGGUAAGGUACCGGCUUACCAAGGCAACGAUGCGUAGCCGACCUGAGAGGGUGAUCGGCCACACUGGAACUGAGACACGGUCCAGACCCCUACGGGAGGCAGCAGUAGGGAAGCGGCCGCAAGGGGCGAAAGCCGGACGGAGCAACGCCGCGGGAGGGAGGAAGGUCUGCUGAUCGUAAAACUCUGUUAUUAGGGAAGAACAAAGGGGGAAGGAACGAGGCACGGCGUGACGGGACCGAAGCAGAAAGCCACGGCUAACUACGUG
RNAcentral lists this ribosomal RNA (497 nucleotides) under uncultured bacterium. RNAcentral describes it as "partial 16S ribosomal RNA". It matches the Rfam family "Bacterial small subunit ribosomal RNA", at positions 38 to 507 of the family's 1533-position model. The record is from RNAcentral.